UACGAAGGGGGCUAGCGUUGUUCGGAAUUACUGGGCGUAAAGCGCACGUAGGCGGGCGAUUAAGUCAGGGGUGAAAUCCCGGAGCUCAACUCCGGAACUGCCUUUGAUACUGGUCGUCUAGAGAUCGGAAGAGGUGAGUGGAAUUCCCAGUGUAGAGGUGAAAUUCGUAGAUAUUGGGAAGAACACCAGUGGCGAAGGCGGCUCACUGGUCCGAUACUGACGCUGAGGUGCGAAAGCGUGGGGAGCAAACAGGAUUAGAAACCCCAGUAGUCC
This 273-nucleotide ribosomal RNA is filed under the name uncultured prokaryote. RNAcentral's name for it is "partial 16S ribosomal RNA". It matches the Rfam family "Bacterial small subunit ribosomal RNA", at positions 524 to 796 of the family's 1533-position model. The record is from RNAcentral.